RNAcentral lists this ribosomal RNA (319 nucleotides) under uncultured eukaryote. RNAcentral describes it as "partial 18S ribosomal RNA". It matches the Rfam family "Eukaryotic small subunit ribosomal RNA", at positions 1470 to 1796 of the family's 1831-position model. The record is from RNAcentral.
CCCUUAGAUGUUCUGGGCCGCACGCGCGCUACACUGAAUGGAUCAACGUGUUUUCCCUUCCCGAGAGGGACGGGUAACCCGCUGAACCCCAUUCGUGGUAGGGAUCGGAGCUUGCAAUUGUUCUCCGUGAACCAGGAAUUCCCAGUAAGCGCAAGUCAUAAGCUUGCGUUGAUUACGUCCCUGCCCUUUGUACACACCGCCCGUCGCUACUACCGAUUGAAUGGUCCGGUGAAAUCUCGGGACGGCGGCUUGGUCGCUUGCGUCCGACUGCUGAAACUUGAUUAAACCAUAUCAUUUAGAGGAAGGUGAAGUCGUAACA